Long non-coding RNA from Thalassophryne amazonica, 151 nucleotides. RefSeq lists it as uncharacterized. Lineage: Eukaryota; Metazoa; Chordata; Actinopteri; Batrachoidiformes; Batrachoididae. The transcript is spliced from 3 exons. The record is from RefSeq and is a predicted model, not a curated record.
CUGUGAAAAUGCAACCACUUUUCCCCUCAUAGGUGAUCUUCUUUGCCCAGGCUGCUUUCAGUAUUUUGUCUUUAAUAUCAAAGCUUUGAAAAUUAAUCAGAAUAGAUCUUGAGAUGGUUUCUUCCUGUGGUUUUGUGCCGCACCAUGAGCG